Molecule: ribosomal RNA, 253 nt
Filed under: uncultured bacterium
Lineage: Bacteria
Description: partial 16S ribosomal RNA
Rfam family: Bacterial small subunit ribosomal RNA
Source: RNAcentral
UACGUAGGGACCAAGCGUUGUUCGGAUUUACUGGGCGUAAAGGGCGCGUAGGCGGCGUGGUAAGUCACUUGUGAAAUCUCUGAGCUUAACUCAGAACGGCCAAGUGAUACUGCUGUGCUAGAGUGCAGAAGGGGCAAUCGGAAUUCUUGGUGUAGCGGUGAAAUGCGUAGAUAUCGAGAGGAACACCUGCGGCGAAGGCGGGUUGCUGGGCCGACACUGACGCUGAUGCGCGAAAGCCAGGGGAGCGAACGGG